UACGUAGGGGGCGAGCGUUGUCCGGAAUCAUUGGGCGUAAAGCGCGUGUAGGCGGCUCGGUAAGUCUGCUGUGAAAGUCCAGGGCUCAACCCUGGGAUGCCGGUGGAUACUGUCGAGCUCGAGUCCGGAAGAGGCGAGUGGAAUUCCUGGUGUAGCGGUGAAAUGCGCAGAUAUCAGGAAGAGCACCCGUGGCUAAGGCGGCUCUCUAGUACGUGACUGACGCUGAGACGCGAAAGCGUGGGGAGCGAACAGG
RNAcentral lists this ribosomal RNA (253 nucleotides) under uncultured bacterium. Its description in RNAcentral is "partial 16S ribosomal RNA". It matches the Rfam family "Bacterial small subunit ribosomal RNA", at positions 524 to 776 of the family's 1533-position model. The record is from RNAcentral.